RNAcentral lists this ribosomal RNA (497 nucleotides) under uncultured bacterium. RNAcentral's name for it is "partial 16S ribosomal RNA". It matches the Rfam family "Bacterial small subunit ribosomal RNA", at positions 28 to 507 of the family's 1533-position model. The record is from RNAcentral.
GAUGAACGCUGGCGGCGUGCCUAAUACAUGCAAGUCGAGCGAACAGACGAGGAGCUUGCUCCUCUGACGUUAGCGGCGGACGGGUGAGUAACACGUGGAUAACCCACCUAUAAGACUUGGAUAACUUCGGGAAACCGGAGCUAAUACUGGAUAAUAUAUUGAACCGCAUGGUUCAAUAGUGAAAUACGGUUUUUCUGUCACUUAUAGAUGGAUCCGCGCCGCAUUAGCUAGUUGGUAAGGUAACGGCUUACCAAGGCAACGAUGCGUAGCCGACCUGAGAGAGUGAUAGGCCACACGAGAGCGGAGACACGGUCCAGACUCCUACGGGAGGCAGCAGAAGGGAAUCUUCCGCAAUGGGCGAAAGCCUGACGGAGCAACGCCGCGUGAGUGAUGAAGGUCUUCGGAUCGUAAAACUCUGUUAUUAGGGAAGAACAAAUGUGUAAGUAACUAUGCACGUCUUGACGGUACCUAAUCAGAAAGCCACGGCUAACUACGUG